CGUGGGUAACCUGUCCAAGAGAUCGGGAUAACACCUGGAAACAGAUGCUAAUACCGGAUAAUAACAGAUGAUGCCUAUCAACUGUUUAAAAGAUGGUUCUGCUAUCACUCUUGGAUGGACCUGCGGUGCAUUAGCUAGUUGGUAGGGUAACGGCCUACCAAGGCGAUGAUGCAUAGCCGAGUUGAGAGACUGAUCGGCCACAUUGGGACUGAGACACGGCCCAAACUCCUACGGGAGGCAGCAGUA
This 246-nucleotide ribosomal RNA is filed under the name uncultured Lactobacillus sp. RNAcentral's name for it is "partial 16S ribosomal RNA". It matches the Rfam family "Bacterial small subunit ribosomal RNA", at positions 116 to 355 of the family's 1533-position model. Lineage: Bacteria; Bacillati; Bacillota; Bacilli; Lactobacillales; Lactobacillaceae. The record is from RNAcentral.